Megalops cyprinoides (Indo-Pacific tarpon) is the source of this 94-nucleotide small nucleolar RNA. RefSeq annotates it as small nucleolar SNORD12/SNORD106. The record is from RefSeq and is a predicted model, not a curated record. The transcript has a single exon. NCBI's taxonomy places the organism in Eukaryota, Metazoa, Chordata, Actinopteri, Elopiformes, Megalopidae.
ACUGUGGUUGAUGAUGCUCAAACUUUUUUCCCCAUCUUAACGACCAUGGUGAUGCAUCGCUGAAAAUUAAGCCAACUCUGUCUGAAACCACAAC